UACGUAGGGUGCAAGCGUUGUCCGGAAUUAUUGGGCGUAAAGAGCUCGUAGGCGGUUUGUCGCGUCUGCUGUGAAAAUCCAGGGCUUAACCCUGGACCUGCAGUGGGUACGGGCAGACUGGAGUGCGGUAGGGGAGAUCGGAAUUCCUGGUGUAGCGGUGAAGUGCGCAGAUAUCAGGAGGAACACCGGUGGCGAAGGCGGAUCUCUGGGCCGUAACUGACGCUGAGGAGCGAAAGCAUGGGGAGCGAACAGG
This 253-nucleotide ribosomal RNA is filed under the name uncultured bacterium. RNAcentral describes it as "partial 16S ribosomal RNA". It matches the Rfam family "Bacterial small subunit ribosomal RNA", at positions 524 to 776 of the family's 1533-position model. The record is from RNAcentral.